AAGCAAGUGUUUCACUCAAUCACUCAAGUGUUUAAGGUGACACUCCAACUCUCUAUUGUUCACAAGUCACAUGAAACAGAAUUGUCAUUCAUCUCAAACAGUCAACAUCUUUACAUGCAAAUGCCAUCAAAAGGACUUUUUCAAGGCUUGUAAUGAGGUUGGGCUAACAAGAAAGAAUUGGUUUUUCUAGAAUGCAAAACCCUUGAGUUAAGAGAGCUAUUAAAAUAUUCACAAAUUAAGCACAACUCUCUUCCUUACCAAUCUCUCUCAUUCCCAACUUUUCCCUUUUCUUUUUUUCUUUUGCAUUGAGCUCUUCUUCAUGCUUUUCUUCUUUUCUUUUCUUUUUCUCAUGAAUUUUUCUUUUCACAACAUUUGAGCUCAAUGCUUUUCACUUGCUUUUUCAACUUUCCCCCAACAACCCCAAACUUGAACCUUUUUGUCACAUACAAUUAAGCUCAUCCCAACUCAAGGUAAAGAAUUUCAAAACACGGGGUCACACACUAUUUAAGGCUAAGGUUCAAAAAGGAUAAAAUAUUUUUAAGCAUUUUGGGUGAAAAUUUGGCUAGAGAAGGGUUUUCAAAAAUGGCCUUGAUCAUAUGACAUUCACAUGCAAUUCAAUCGAUCAUCAAGAUUAAGGAAAUAUCAUCCAUGUUUUCCUACGAACAAUACAUGCAUCAAUAAAAACUCUGAAGCUCAAAAUGUCACACACAUGCUUCCUCACACACAAUUCAUUCAUACACCAUGCCUAGCAUCAUGACCACAAUCUUAAAUUCAUCACCCAUCUAUUUCCUGGGUAUCAACAUACAUUACAACUAAAUUUUCUUUCACAUCAAAUAAUCAUCAAAUAGAUCCAUCAUGCACAUCAGUUAGUCAGACAUUUUCAGAACAAGUAAUAAAGCC
RNAcentral lists this long non-coding RNA (900 nucleotides) under Vigna radiata. Its description in RNAcentral is "long non-coding RNA (VRAD_LNC012167)". Lineage: Eukaryota; Viridiplantae; Streptophyta; Magnoliopsida; Fabales; Fabaceae. The record is from RNAcentral.